RNAcentral lists this ribosomal RNA (497 nucleotides) under uncultured bacterium. RNAcentral describes it as "partial 16S ribosomal RNA". It matches the Rfam family "Bacterial small subunit ribosomal RNA", at positions 28 to 507 of the family's 1533-position model. The record is from RNAcentral.
GAUGAACGCUGGCGGCGUGCCUAAUACAUGCAAGUCGAGCGAACAGACGAGGAGCUUGCUCCUCUGACGUUAGCGGCGGACGGGUGAGUAACACGUGGAUAACCUACCUAUAAGACGGGGAUAACUUCGGGAAACCGGAGCUAAUACCGGAUAAUAUAUUGAACCGCAUGGUUCAAUAGUGAAAGACGGUUUUGCUGUCACUUAUAGAUGGAUCCGCGCCGCAUUAGCUAGUUGGUAAGGUAACGGCUUACCAAGGCAACGAUGCGUAGGCGACCUGAGAGGGUGAUCGGCCACACUGGAACUGAGACACGGUCCAGACUCCUACGGGAGGCAGCAGUAGGGAAUCUUCCGCAAUGGGCGAAAGCCUGACGGAGCAACGCCGCGUGAGUGAUGAAGGUCUUCGGAUCGUAAAACUCUGUUAUUAGGGAAGAACAAAUGUGUAAGUAACUAUGCACGUCUUGACGGUACCUAAUCAGAAAGCCACGGCUAACUACGUG